This 253-nucleotide ribosomal RNA is filed under the name uncultured bacterium. Its description in RNAcentral is "partial 16S ribosomal RNA". It matches the Rfam family "Bacterial small subunit ribosomal RNA", at positions 524 to 776 of the family's 1533-position model. The record is from RNAcentral. RNAcentral also lists the same sequence under 1 other name.
UACGGAGGGUGCAAGCGUUAUCCGGAUUCACUGGGUUUAAAGGGUGCGUAGGCGGACUUGUAAGUCCGUGGUGAAAUCUCCGAGCUUAACUCGGAAACUGCCAUGGAUACUAUAGGUCUUGAAUGUUGUGGAGGUUAGCGGAAUAGUUCAUGUAGCGGUGAAAUGCUUAGAUAUGACCUAGAACACCGAUUGCGAAGGCAGCUGGCUACACAACGAUUGACGCUGAGGCACGAAAGCGUGGGGAUCAAACAGG